CGUGUGGCACACUGUAUAAAUCUUCGCUGUGGCUCUGUGUAGCGAGCUGUACUUUGCGGUAAAGAAAUCACACUGUUGGACACUUCAAGCUCUCCUGAUCUCUUCAGCGGCAUUGCAUUAAUACAGAAAGGUGGAGCCUAUCUGACGCCGAGCACACUCCCGGACAAACACGUUUUCCAGUUUUUAUUGAAAUUUCAGCAGGAAAAGUUCAAUGAAUCACCUGAAAAAGCACAAAGCCGAACUAAACCUCCAGCCGAAGCAGUGAUGGCAGCAGCAGCCCUGACCAGUAGCAGGUGUAGCAUCAGAAGCACCAGAGGCCUGUGCUUAGUAUUCAGCAUGAUGUGCUUGGUUUGCUUUGCAAGCUUCCUGGAAGUGAAGGAAAAACUGGAGAAGAUCAAAGAGACAGUCCGGAAAACUGAGGUACUCAUACAGUCUGGAAAGGUGAGUUUUACAUUUAAUCCCUUAAUUUCUGAUUUAUUGUUAAAUGUUUGGAAAAAAGAACUGCAAGUACACAACCUGAUCAUCUCUUUUUCAUUUUCUACCCUACAGGCAAACUUUGAGUCAAGGCGCGACGAGAUUUCUAAGAUUAUGAGUGAAAACAUGGCCAAAAUGCAAUGUCUGAAAAAGCAUUCCAUUUUGUCUCCACCUGAGAUGGAGAGCAUUGAGAGAUACACUGAGAACACCAACGAUCAUGUGAGAAACUCACUGGCACAAAUGGCUGAAAUGGUGAAGUUCUAUGAAGCAAAACUGGAGGAGAUGAAAGCUCAAGUAGAACUGUUGGAGUUUAUUCGUGAUGAGUUAUAAAAAGCCUUCAGACUGACACUGUCUGGUGCCUGUAAAACCUUUACUUCACAAUUAAAGCAUGUUAUGUGGACAUUUA
Toxotes jaculatrix (banded archerfish) is the source of this 880-nucleotide long non-coding RNA. RefSeq lists it as uncharacterized. The transcript has 4 exons. The record is from RefSeq and is a predicted model, not a curated record. NCBI's taxonomy places the organism in Eukaryota, Metazoa, Chordata, Actinopteri, Toxotidae.